Molecule: ribosomal RNA, 497 nt
Filed under: uncultured bacterium
Lineage: Bacteria
Description: partial 16S ribosomal RNA
Rfam family: Bacterial small subunit ribosomal RNA
Source: RNAcentral
GAUGAACGCUGGCGGCGUGCCUAGUACAUGCAAGUCGAGCGAACGGACGAGAAGCUUGCUUCUCUGAUGUUAGCGGCGGACGGGUGAGUAACACGUGGAUAACCUACCUAUAAGACUGGGAUAACUUCGGGAAACCGUAGCUAAUACCGGAUAAUAUUUUGAACCGCAUGGUUCAAAAGUGAAAGACGGUCUUGCUGUCACUUAUAGAUGGAUCCGCGCUGCAUUAGCUAGUUGGUAAGGUAACGGCUUACCAAGGCAACGAUGCAUAGCCGACCUGAGAGGGUGAUCGGACACACUGGAACUGAGACACGGUCCAGACUCCUACGGGAGGCAGCAGUAGGGAAUCUUCCGCAAUGGGCGAAAGCCUGACGGAGCAACGCCGCGUGAGUGAUGAAGGUCUUCGGAUCGUAAAACUCUGUUAUUAGGGAAGAACAUAUGUGUAAGUAACUGUGCACAUCUUGACGGUACCUAAUCAGAAAGCCACGGCUAACUACGUG